AUUGAACGCUGGCGGCAGGCCUAACACAUGCAAGUCGAGCGGUAGCACAGAGAGCUUGCUCUCGGGUGACGAGCGGCGGACGGGUGAGUAAUGUCUGGGAAACUGCCUGAUGGAGGGGGAUAACUACUGGAAACGGUAGCUAAUACCGCAUAACGUCGCAAGACCAAAGAGGGGGACCUUCGGGCCUCUUGCCAUCAGAUGUGCCCAGAUGGGAUUAGCUGGUAGGUGGGGUAACGGCUCACCUAGGCGACGAUCCCUAGCUGGUCUGAGUGGAUGACCAGCCACACUGGAACGGAGACACGGUCCAGACUCCUACGAGAGGCAGCAGUGGGGAAUAUUGCACAAUGGGCGCAAGCCUGAUGCAGCCAUGCCGCGUGUAUGAAGAAGGCCUUCGGGUUGUAAAGUACUCUCAGCGGGGAGGAAGGCGGUGAAGUUAAUAGCUUCAUCGAUUGACGUCACCCGCAGAAGAAGCACCGGCUAACUCCGUGCCAGCCGCCGCAGUAA
Molecule: ribosomal RNA, 504 nt
Filed under: uncultured bacterium
Lineage: Bacteria
Description: partial 16S ribosomal RNA
Rfam family: Bacterial small subunit ribosomal RNA
Source: RNAcentral